This is an RNA transcript of Populus trichocarpa (black cottonwood), 623 nucleotides long. RefSeq lists it as uncharacterized. The record is from RefSeq and is a predicted model, not a curated record. The transcript has a single exon. Lineage: Eukaryota; Viridiplantae; Streptophyta; Magnoliopsida; Malpighiales; Salicaceae.
AAACCAUAUCAAUCCAGCAGAUAGCUUAAACAUAACCAUUUCUCUCUUUUUUCACGACCCUUGAGAAAAAAAUGCAGAUCUUCAGCAAAGUGUUGAGAGAUACUGAUGUCCAUGUUCGGUUCUCGUUCCCAACUCAUUGCUUAGAGCAUUUAGAUUUUGCUGGAAAUAAUUCUGUUGAUUUGUAUGUUAAAGAUAGCUGUGGACUGUGGUGAGCUUCGGGUUAUUCGUUGCCUGAAGAGAAAUGGAGUUUAUGACAAGCCAGUGCUUUCUAUGGGCUGGCUUAAAUUUGUUGAUGAUUAUGGACUGAGAGUUGGUGACAUGGUUGUUCUUCAUCGUGAGGAUGACCAGAACCUGGGGUCACAGUUCAUGAUUGAAGCUAAGAGGAGAAUUAAGCUGUUUGGUGAGGAGGAUUGGGGUGAAGUGACAAGAGAUAACUAGCUAUUAUUUGCAUGGAGCGUGGAUGUUCGGCCAGAUCCAGAUAUAUAUAGAAGAAUCAAUUUCCUAAGUUUGGUGUUUUUGUGUGUGUAAAUUAAACAAAUAUGUUGCUGUUCUUAGUUUCUUGAAUAUGUAUUACGUGCAUGUAAUUCUCAGCAAUAAUGGAUUUAAUUAAUUAUAUGUGAUCA